RNAcentral lists this ribosomal RNA (120 nucleotides) under uncultured bacterium. RNAcentral's name for it is "partial 16S ribosomal RNA". It matches the Rfam family "Bacterial small subunit ribosomal RNA", at positions 28 to 146 of the family's 1533-position model. The record is from RNAcentral.
GAUGAACGCUGGCGGCGUGCUUAACACAUGCAAGUCGAACGGUGAAAGAGAGCUUGCUCUCUGGAUCAGUGGCGAACGGGUGAGUAACACGUGAGCAAUCUGCCCCUGACUCUGGGAUAA